This is a long non-coding RNA of Arachis duranensis, 394 nucleotides long. RefSeq lists it as uncharacterized. The record is from RefSeq and is a predicted model, not a curated record. Lineage: Eukaryota; Viridiplantae; Streptophyta; Magnoliopsida; Fabales; Fabaceae. The transcript is spliced from 3 exons.
CCCCCUUCCCCAUCUCUCUCACAAAAAUGAAAAAUCCAAUCGUAAGGUCUUCCAGCGCAACCAGCAGCAGUAGCCAUCGCCCCAACCCCGUCAUCUCCUCUUCUCCCCUCGCGUCGCUAGAAGGUUUUUAAGAUCGACACUACUUGGAUAAGGAAUGGGGCAAUUAGUUUUAGUGCAGGAGAUAAUGAUGACACAAGUAAUGAAGAAGUGACUGAUGAUGGAGCCAACAAAGUUCAUGGACCUGAUGAAGACACUUUAGAGCCAGUUUUUGGUUUAAUGUCAGUUAAAAUUUUGAACAGAUUAACUUAAACUGAGAAUGCACUCUUAAUUAUAUAGUUGAAGCAACACAUCUGUAUUAUUUAUCUUUGUACUGGUGUUUAUGAAUGAAAUUCAU